CAAGCGGUGGAGGAUGUGGUUUAAUUCGAUGCAACGCGAAGAACCUUACCAAGGCUUGACAUCCUGCGAAUCCUUCAGAGAUGGAGGAGUGCCUUCGGGAGCGCAGAGACAGGUGGUGCAUGGCUGUCGUCAGCUCGUGUCGUGAGAUGUUGGGUUAAGUCCCGCAACGAGCGCAACCCUCGUUCUUAGUUGCCAGCAUUAAGUUGGGCACUCUGGGGAGACUGCCGUGGACAACACGGAGGAAGGUGGGGACGACGUCAAGUCAUCAUGCCCCUUACGCCCUGGGCUACACACGUCCUACAAUGGCCGGAUAUAGAGGGCAGCGAAGCCGCGAGGUGGAGCGAAUCCCAGAAAGCCGGUCUCAGUUCGGAUUGCAGGCUGCAACUCGCCUGCAUGAAGUCGGAAUCGCUAGUAAACGCAGAUCAGCAUGCUGCGUUGAAUACGUUCCCGGGCCUUGUACACACCGCCCGUCACACCACGAAAGUUUGUUCAACCCGAAGUCGGUGAGCUAACCCUUAUGGGAGGCAGCUGCCUAAGGUGGGGCAAAUGA
This 550-nucleotide ribosomal RNA is filed under the name uncultured bacterium. Its description in RNAcentral is "bacterial SSU rRNA". It matches the Rfam family "Bacterial small subunit ribosomal RNA", at positions 926 to 1474 of the family's 1533-position model. The record is from RNAcentral.